GGAAAUAUGGCUCAGCGGUCGAGUGUGUGCCUACCAAGCACAAGGCCCUGGGUUCUAUCCCCAGGACCCCCU
Molecule: transfer RNA, 72 nt
Filed under: Marmota monax (woodchuck)
Lineage: Eukaryota; Metazoa; Chordata; Mammalia; Rodentia; Sciuridae
Rfam family: tRNA
About the family: Transfer RNA (tRNA) molecules are approximately 80 nucleotides in length. Their secondary structure includes four short double-helical elements and three loops (D, anti-codon, and T loops).
Source: Rfam by way of RNAcentral